RNAcentral lists this ribosomal RNA (292 nucleotides) under uncultured bacterium. Its description in RNAcentral is "partial 16S ribosomal RNA". It matches the Rfam family "Bacterial small subunit ribosomal RNA", at positions 505 to 796 of the family's 1533-position model. The record is from RNAcentral.
GUGUCAGCAGCCGCGGUAAUACGUAGGCAGCGAGCGUUGUUCGGAGUUACUGGGCGUAAAGCGUGCGUAGGCGGUGGCCCAAGUCUGGUGUGAAAUCUCCCGGCUUAACUGGGAGGGUGCGCCGGAAACUGGGUUGCUGGAGUACCGGAGAGGCAAGCGGAAUUCCUGGUGUAGCGGUGAAAUGCGUAGAUAUCAGGAGGAACACCCGUGGUGUAGACGGCUUGCUGGACGGUCACUGACGCUGAGGCACGAAAGCGUGGGGAGCAAACAGGAUUAGAUACCCUGGUAGUCC